AGUGAACGCUGGCGGCAGGCCUAAUACAUGCAAGUCGAACGGCAGCACAGCAGAGCUUGCUCUGUGGGUGGCGAGUGGCGGACGGGUGAGGAAUACAUGGGAAUCUGCCCAGUCGUGGGGGAUAACGUAGGGAAACUUACGCUAAUACCGCAUGCGCCCUUCGGGGGAAAGCCGGGGACCUUCGGGCCUGGCGCGAUUGGAUGAGCCCAUGUCGGAUUAGCUAGUUGGCGGGGUAAUGGCCCACCAAGGCGACGAUCCGUAGCUGGUCUGAGAGGAUGAUCAGCCACACUGGAACUGAGACACGGUCCAGACUCCUACGGGAGGCAGCAGUAGGGAAUAUUGGACAAUGGGCGCAAGCCCGAUCCAGCCAUGCCGCGUGAGUGAAGAAGGCCCUCGGGUUGUAAAGCUCUUUUGUCCGGAAAGAAAGCGCCGGGUUAAUACCCUAGUGUCCUGACGGUACCGGAAGAAUAAGCACCGGCUAACUUCGUGCCAGCAG
Molecule: ribosomal RNA, 496 nt
Filed under: uncultured bacterium
Lineage: Bacteria
Description: bacterial SSU rRNA
Rfam family: Bacterial small subunit ribosomal RNA
Source: RNAcentral